CCCCGCGGGCGUUUCCGGAGUCCUCCCCCGACGCCCGACACGGCCUGUUCUCUGUCGUGUCUUGAGUGGCACGAAAGCUGAUCGUGUGGUUCUCAGAUGCAAGUCGCCCGUCACAGCCCCUUCCCCCCGCAGCCGCUCGAGCUGUCUUUGUGGUCGUUAGGGCUAAUCAGCUCGGGCCACACGUUCUUCCCUCGAGGAGCCCGGUCCUCUGACAGCUGGGGGGGGGGGGGGGCCCCCCCCCCCCCCCCCCCCCCCCCCAAAGCCCGGCCUGCAGGGACGUGCCUCCGUUGCCUGGGAGAUGGAGGGGGACCCCGCCACAGGACGUGGGGCAGAAAGCCAGGGCCCGGGGUCGACAUGGUGACCGUCGGUCGGGAGCAGCCCGGGCGGGGGUCGCCGUGGAGGUCCCUGGGUCUCCGUGCUCCGCGCGCUCAGCGCCAGCUGCACGGGGGUCCCCGCGGGCCCUGCCGGCAAUGAGGCCCUCGCCAGCAAGGCUGCUUCUGGGCGUCGGUGGGGGCCUCGGGCCAGGCCCGAGUCCCGGGACCCAGGGAGGGGAGUCCACAGUCGAUCACGGGCCAGGAGCUCCAAUGCCGUUAGAGAGAAAUCCAGUUCCCGUGGGCCCUAGACUUCUCGUGGGACUGCGUUCUUCAGACCAGACCCCGAGCCAAGGACGCACGGCAAACGAUUUCUUAAGAAGCCAGUGCUCCCGGAGACGGGGAGGCGGGCCGUGGCCGGGGAGCACGGCCCAGCCCCGCCUGAGCCCGAGGGAGCCCCGGGGGUGAGCGGUACCGUCUCCGGGUUCACCUCCCAGGGCUCCCACGCCCCAGGGCCCCCAGGUUCAAGGACCGAACACCACUGGUGCCUCGUCCCCAUCGGCCACGGAGGCGGUAAAGGAAGGAAUGUUGCUGCCGAGCCCCCGUCUGUGCUACUCUGGUGUAGCGGCCCGUCCUGGCCAGCGCUCGCGCUCAGCCCUUAGUCCGUUCAACACCGUCCUGGCGCACGGCCUGGGUGCGGUGGCCACAGAGCUCCGGGCUCCGGCCACACGGCAUGGGUGGGACACGCCCGGUCCUGCCCGCCGGGAGUCCUCUGUCCUACCCUCAGCCUCCUCGCUUCCCAAGACAGAGACGUCCACACCACGGCCCCUACCAACAGCACCACAUCCGUGUCCUGGGGCAAAUACCGGCCGGGGCCACCUCCGCCAGGGCGCCAGCUCGCUCCCGCAGGACGUCACCCCCGGCAAGCACAGCCUGUCUGCACCGGCAGCUGAAUCCCGCCGGGCCAGGGAAGGUGCCCGGCACUAGCCGGAGAUCUCUUGGCAUUGGCGAAUGAAAGGCAUGUUCAGGAGGAACCAUAGCUCAUCUGGGCUUUGCUAAGAACGACGGAGCCCACGGCCCAGCAGAACGGCCCCAGAGGCACGGCUGACAGGAGCACCCACUGGAGACGAGGGACAGAAAAAGGGAGACUCGUUUAGACAGCGUGAUACCCUGGACACUUCCGUGUGGUUCUCCGGACCUACUCACCGUUCUCCAACCUGCUCUGGACCCCCAGCGGCUGACCUGCAUGGACCACACGAGCAACCCCCAUGUCCUUGGCCAGUGUGAGGGGUGGCCCCACCCCAGCUGGACAACUGGACAACACUGAGGCAGUUUGGGCUUGAAAAAUCACAGACCCCGGGGGCCCUAACAUACUUCCUAAGCCGCUGAUUCCAAACAGUUGGUUAGCAGGCAGUUUCCGGCUAAUUUGCAAAUACUUCAGAUGUUAAUCCCAUUUUUUCCACUAGGAAUAAGCGAGCUUUUAAAUUA
Molecule: long non-coding RNA, 1799 nt
Organism: Panthera uncia (snow leopard)
Lineage: Eukaryota; Metazoa; Chordata; Mammalia; Carnivora; Felidae
Exons: 3
Source: RefSeq, a predicted model, not a curated record